Molecule: ribosomal RNA, 468 nt
Filed under: uncultured bacterium
Lineage: Bacteria
Description: partial 16S ribosomal RNA
Rfam family: Bacterial small subunit ribosomal RNA
Source: RNAcentral
GACGAACGCUGGCGGCGUGCUUAACACAUGCAAGUCGAACGGAAAGGCCCUGCUUUUGUGGGGUGCUCGAGUGGCGAACGGGUGAGUAACACGUGAGUAACCUGCCCUUGACUUUGGGAUAACUUCAGGAAACUGGGGCUAAUACCUGAUAGGAGCUCCUGCUGCAUGGUGGGGGUUGGAAAGUUUCGGCGGUUGGGGAUGGACUCGCGGCUUAUCAGCUUGUUGGUGGGGUAGUGGCUUACCAAGGCUUUGACGGGUAGCCGGCCUGAGAGGGGCACCGGCCCCAUUGGGACUGAGAUACGGCCCAGACUCCUACGGGAGGCAGCAGUGGGGAAUAUUGCACAAUGGGCGGAAGCCUGAUGUAGCAACGCCGCGUGCGGGAUGACGGCCUUCGGGUUGUAAACCGCUUUCGCCUGUGACGAAGCGUGAGUGACGGUAAUGGGUAAAGAAGCACCGGCUAACUACGUG